This 5191-nucleotide long non-coding RNA is filed under the name Marmota monax (woodchuck). Lineage: Eukaryota; Metazoa; Chordata; Mammalia; Rodentia; Sciuridae. The record is from RNAcentral.
CCUGGGGGUGAGUGCCCUGCCUGGUAGACUGCCUAUCCUCAGCUGGCCCCCUUGCAGGCCCCAUCAGGGGUACAGGUGCUAAUGAGUGCCACCCAGAGUGUGUACCUGGAGGAGGAAGGUGUCUACCGCUUCCACAUGGAGCACCCUGUGCCCGCCUACCUCGUGGCCCUUGUGGCUGGAGACCUCAAGCCAGCAGACAUCGGACCCAGGUAGGCCUCCGGUCCUGCUGCUCCCAUGCAAGGUGGUCCAGGCCUCAGGCAGAGCCCCCACAGCCUGGGUCUGCACCCUGCACCCACAGCUGCCCUGCCGAGGCCCCUGGGCUGCAGGUAUGUGACCUGCUGCCAGGCCCUGCUCAUCCACACAUUCUCAGACCAGACAGCCUGACCUGUCCAGUGCUCUAUCAGCCUGAACUUCCAGGGCCACAUGCAGCCACAUGCUCUCGCAGGUUCCUUUACCCAGUGACAGAGCAGAUCAAAAGGUCGCAGAGUGCGGGGCCACCCCUGCACUCGGGAGGGAAGGGCCACUGUAGCCCCUGUCCAGGGUGGUGAGCUAAGGCAGUCAGCCUGCCAGAGGAGGCAGAAGGAAGGCCUCAGCCCACCCUCUGCACCCUCUGCAGGAGCCGCGUGUGGGCAGAACCAUGUCUCCUCCCCACGGCCACCAGCAAGCUGUCAGGGGUGGUGGAGCAGUGGCUGAGUGCGGCAGAGCGGCUCUACGGGCCGUACAUGUGGGGCAGGUACGUCCUGUCCCCUGGCGGCCUGCCACCACUUGAGGGAGGCCACGUCCCUGCCCUCUGGAGGAAGAAGGGGCAUGCCCUAGGCCCUGUCCCCCAUCUCCUGGGAAGAAGGGAACUCCCUGCAGGGCUGGAGUGCUGCCCCUGAUGGAGGGCCUGUGAGGCCUGCUGAUGCCCCCCGUCACCUGCACUCACGGCACAGGUACGACAUUGUCUUCCUGCCCCCCUCCUUCCCCAUCGUGGCCAUGGAGAACCCCUGCCUCACCUUCAUCAUCUCCUCCAUCCUGGAGAGUGACGAGUUUCUGGUCAUUGAUGUCAUCCAUGAGGUGGCCCACAGCUGGUUUGGCAAUGCCGUCACCAACGCCACGUGGGAGGAGAUGUGGCUCAGCGAGGGCCUGGCCACCUACGCACAGCGCCGCAUCACCACAGAGACCUAUGGUACCACCUGGGGAGGAGUCUGGAGCCGCCUCGGGCAGAUGGGGCACUGCCCUCUGCCAGGGGCUAGAGCUGGCCCAGCCUCCUGUGUUCUGUGUCCUGCUCUCCUCUGGGGUCUGGCCCACAGGCUCAGGGCAGGGAGCUCAAGGGCCAGCGUGGCUCCACUGUGGCAGCUCUCCCGACUCCACCACCUCCUCUCGCCUGCCUGGCCCUCCCCACCCAGGUGCCGCCUUCACCUGCCUGGAGACAGCCUUCCGCCUGGACGCCCUACACAGGCAGAUGAGGCUCCUUGGAGAGGACAGUCCAGUCAGCAAGCUGCAGGUCAAGCUGGAGCCAGGUGCCUGCUCCCACCAGGCCUGUGCCUGGGACCCGGUGGAUGCCACCCACCCCUCAGGCCUCCUUCCCUGCCUCUGGCUUGCUCAGGCCGGGCUGAGUCCCCACAAAGGUCAGGAUGGGUGUUCCCAGCCCAGGGAAUGCCUUCUGGGCUACCCUGGCCUGCCCCUGUCUCAUGCCUUCAAGUGCCCAUCACUGAGAUGUGGACCCUCAGGUGCCCGAGCCCCCAGGCAGGGAAGGGCCAGGCCCAUCCCUGCACACCCAGGGUGCUAGUAGGACCCUGACCUUAUGAGGGACAGUGGCCCUCUGCCCAUCCUGCUCCUCAGUGCAGGCCACUGCCCUCCCCUCCCCUGCCAGCCCAGACAAGGUAUUCCCUGCAGGCGUGAACCCCAGCCACCUGAUGAACCUGUUCACCUAUGAGAAGGGCUACUGCUUCGUGUACUACCUGUCCCAGCUCUGUGGAGACCCCCAGCGCUUCGACGACUUUCUCCGAGUGAGCAUUGGACCUGCACCUCCUGCCUCACCCCGCCCCAGCACACAGGGCUGCCUGUCUUGGGGGGAGGGUGGCGUCCGUAGGGACACCCAGAGCCCUACCAGGACCUGGCCUGCUGAGACAGCACGGCCUUCCUCUCCUGUCCGCCCCAGUGGGCCGCUCACGUCCAUGGCACACACCCUGAGUUGCUGUGAAGGCCCCAGCUCUGACCGGGGCCAGGCCUGGCCAGCCCUCCAGGCCUGCUCAGUGGCCGCCCCUCCCCCCACAGGCCUACGUGGAGAAGUUCAAGUUCACCAGCGUGGUGGCCCAGGACCUGCUGGGCUCCUUCCUGAGCUUCUUCCCAGAGCUGAAGGAGCAGAGUGUGGACUGCCGGGCAGGUGACAGUGGGGACCGUCUGCCCAAGCUGCGGGCCCUACCUGGAGAAAAGCCCCAUCUGUCACAUCUUUCCUUCAGCCAGCCCUCACUGGCCCUCGUGGACCCCAAGCCUGGACCACGAGCACAAAGGAGGCUGUGCCUCCCAGCCUGAGGGGGCCUCCUGGAGGAGGUGGCACUUAGGUGGAGCAGGCCAAGUUAGGAGCCAGGGGACCAGGGCCCAGCGGGAUCCUAAGGGGCAGGGUUGGCCCUGCUGGCUCCACUACACCACACCCUCGAGGACUUCCCAGAGGGUCUGAGGGUAUGGGGGAUCAAGGAAGGAACUGGAGGGUCCUGAAAUCCAGGGAGGGGCCAGAAUCCGUUGGAAUGCAAUGAGGCACAGCUGGGAGAUCUGGGCACGGUGACCCUAAAUUCUGGAAGGUCCCUAAGUGCAUCAACUGUUUUUGGGGGGUAGGGGAGUGGCCAGCCUGGUACCACUGCUUUAGAGCAUGUGUCAUCACCUCUCACAGUGAAGUCAUCUUUAAAGGACUCAAUUGUCUUGUGCCCAGGCUGGGCCUGGAGAGGGUGGAGGUCACAUGGCCACUGACCCGAGUCCUUCUGGCUUCCCUGUGACCUUCACGGGAGUCUCUUUGGGGGCUUAAAGAGGCAGGCACUGGCCGGAGAUGACCCUUCCCCAAUCACCCAUGUCCCUGGGAGCCUCAGUUCCUGGAACCAGCCACUUCAGACUGGGUCUUCUGGGCAGCUGGGUGGGACCACAGGACCGCUGUUCCUUGCAGGGCUGGAGUUUGAGCGCUGGCUCAAUGCCACGGGCCCACCGCUGGCCGAGCCGGACCUAUCUCAGGGGUCCAGCCUGACCCGGCCUGUGGAGGCCCUGUUCCAGCUGUGGACGGCGGAGCCCCUCGAUCAGGCGGCAGCGUCAGCCAGUGCCGUGGACAUCUCCAAGUGGAGGACCUUCCAGACGGCACUCUUCCUGGACCGGCUCCUGGAUGGGUCCCCGCUGCCUCAGGGUGGGUCCCUCAGCCAGCAGGUGGCCCUGGGGGGAGUGGCACUGGCCUGGCCUGACUUGCCGCUGCCCCACAGAGGUGGUGAUGAGCCUGUCCAAGUGCUACUCCUCCCUCCUGGACUCCAUGAACGCUGAGAUCCGCAUUCGCUGGCUGCAGAUCGUGGUGCGCAACGACUACUACCCAGACCUCCACCGGGUGCGGCGCUUCCUGGAGAGCCAGGUGCAGACACCUGUCUGGGGUCGGGGCUGGGGGUGGCCUCACUCAGGGGCCCAACCACCCUCUCUCUCUCCAGCCUGACUGCUCAGGCAGGCAGGCACACCAGAGAGUUGGGUGGCAAGGUCUGGGGGUCUGGGCUGGGAACCGGCCUGAGUCGGGGGAGACAGGUAUAAGUCAAAGCUCAGAGGCAGCCUGGACUGCACCAGUCCUGGGAGAGACCAUGGAGGCCCAAGAUGGGAGUUGGUGUCCAAGGGUCUCCGCUCACAGCCUGGACCUGGACCUAGCUGGGCCUCCAGCCUGUGGUGUUCAGCUCCCAGGUGGGCACAGGGGCAUCCAAGUUCCUCCAACAGUGGCAGGUUCCAGCCUGUGGGACCUGACUUCCCUGGGGCACCCCUCCAGCCCAAUCAGCAUGGAAGAGGAGGUCAGGGUGACCGACUGGUGGGGGUCUUGGGCUGUGUGAGUCCAGACCAAGGCCUGGUGAAGCCGCUGGAGCAGGUCCAGGGAUUGGAAGGCCUCCCGCCAGGCGGGGUUGGUGGGAGAGGCCCGGGGAGCCCACUAGGUGACCUGGUGUCCCCACAGAUGUCGCGCAUGUACACCAUCCCACUGUAUGAGGACCUCUGCACGGGUGCCCUCAAGUCCUUUGCGCUGGAGGUCUUCUAUCAGACGCAGGGCCGGCUGCACCCCAAUCUGCGCAGAACCAUCCAGCAGAUCCUGUCCCAGGGCCUGGGCCCCAGUGCCGAGGCCAGCACUGAGCCCGACGCUGAGCUGGCCAGAGCUGGGGCAGAGGCAGGGUCAGACUCGGCAGCCCUGCUGCUUGGCGACGAGGCCCCCAGUAGCGCCAUCUCUCUCAGGGACGUCAACGUGUCUGCCUAGCCCUGACAUUGGGCCAACCUUCAACCUCCCAGACACCAAGAUUGUGCCUUCUGUGGCCCGGGCCGCCAUGACUGCGCCUUGGCUCUGGCCACGAGCUCGGCCCGGGCCCGUGAGCCUCUCCCGUGGGCUCUCCCGUGGGCUCUCCCGGGGGCUCUCCCAGGCUGGGGGCUUGGGGAGAGGGAUUCUGUCUAGUGGCAGCCCUGGGGGCCUGAGCUCACCCUGUCCCAGCUGUCCUGCACUGUGGGCCUCAGGACUGGCCUUAUGCACCACGCCUCCCAUCUCAACACUGACAGCCAUGCGUGGCCCCGGACACCCGCACCUGCUGGACACCAUCGUGGGACCGCAGCUCCAGCAGCUCAUGGCGACCACCACACUGUGCCUUACGUCUGCAGACAGGCUGCACUGCCCCCGAGGCACAGCUUCCCCAGAACCCUGCACUGUUAUCCCCUGGCAGAGGGACAAGGACGCGAUGUACCCUCACUGUGGGGGCUGGGGACAGGAGAGAAGGGGCAUCACAUGGGGAGCCUUGGCCCCUCGGCACAUGGAGUCCAGGCCCCAGAGGCCUGUUCUCCCAGCUGCCUGGGGUAGCGGCACAGCCACCCGGCUCACCCCAGGAAAGGGGUGGUGCUGAUGCUCUUGGGGCACACCUGCUGGAGGCACCAGGUAGGAAGGCUCCAGCUUGGGACUGUGCAGUGGGCACCACGUGACUGUCCCAUUAAACCUCCACUCUGCAGA